RNAcentral lists this long non-coding RNA (412 nucleotides) under Salvia miltiorrhiza (redroot sage). RNAcentral's name for it is "long non-coding RNA (SMIL_LNC006486)". Lineage: Eukaryota; Viridiplantae; Streptophyta; Magnoliopsida; Lamiales; Lamiaceae. The record is from RNAcentral.
CAAAUUCCUCUCAUCUCUCUCUAUAACUCCCAAAUCACAUACAACAAAAUAUAACACAAACACUAUAGUAAAAUCAAUCAAUUUCUUUUUUCUUAUAACAAGAAUCAUUCCAUCCACAAAUUCUUGAAAAAAUUUACUCCCUAAAAAAUGUCCACCAACACUUUCAACUCCAUACACCAGCACUACCACCGCUCCCUGCGGCGGCGCCACUCCAUAGACUGCCCUCCCACCACCUUCUCCCUCCGCCCCAGAACCACCACCACCAGCCCCACCACCGCAACCUCCCUCUCCACCUCCUUCGCGGCCACCUCCGCCGCCACAAGCACCCCCACAACCAACCCCUCGACCUCUCACUCGACCUCCCUGGACCUCCUCCGCCACCACCUCGAGGCGAAGAACCUCCGGCAGGCCG